GCGCUUUUCCGUCCGUGACAUUUGGCAACACGCCCGCCGCCGAUAACAACACGUCGGCACCUGGCAGCCGUGGCCGCGUCGCCACCCGCCGGGAGUUGUUGCACCACCAUGGUUCGCAGGCUGAGGCCACUACUGGGGACCCGCUUCAACUAAUGAGUGAGAUUUUCCUGAACCAACAUGGACCUUAGAUCCCCUGAGUGGAUUCAGAGUAAGGCUGUCAAGAUGCUCCCAGCAACGAAAGGUUCAGGCAGUGGUAGAGGAGUCACCAGAAAGCAGACUGAGGUGUUAUCAGGCAUGAUUGUGUGGAAUGUGCUGCUGCUUGUCCUCCUAGUGUUGACUGUGUGUGUGCAAGGGGAGGGGGGUGCUGCUCCCCCAAACUUAUCCCCUCACCAGGAACUCCGCCGCUCAGCUAAGAGUGAAACUGUCAAGAAAGAAGAAGCAGGGAGUCCUGAGGCAGCAAAGCCUGUGGAAAAACCAACUCUUCCACCACAGUCAGCUGAAAGUAAUGUGUCUCUGCAGCCCAAAGACUUCCAGGCGACGCCAAGGAGCAACGAAGAAGAAUCAGAGGAGAAAAGUGGAGAGAAAGGAGAUGGAGAAACACAACCCAUUCCAGAGAACAAGGGUGGUAAUGCAAAUGCAACUACCAAGAAUGAUGCUGGGUUGCUGCCGUCACACCUUCCCAACAUGUCCACAGACGCCGUCCUCAGAGGCUUCUACGUGUUUGUUGGCAUUGGCGCCAUUAUCCUCGUCUAUAUUGUUAUUAAGAUGGCAAGGCUGAGAAAGAGACGAGCUGCUGGCAAAUACCGAGUCUUGUCUCACGGUGAUGACCAGGAGAUGUUCCCUCUGGCAGCUGGGGAAGGUGAUGAUGAAGAAAUUUUCAAUGCUGCUCAUCAUCAGUCACGGAAAUAGCUGACAAUGCUUAUCACUGGCUGUCUCAUCUUUUCUCCUCUGCUUAGAUUGAGAGACUCAGGAUUUGCAUCCCUUGUGCAAGUGCCAGCCCUUUUUUGAAUGGUGAUGUGUAUGUGUAUGUGUAUGUCAGUAUGUCUGUGUGUUCUUGUGUACUCAUGUGGCCAGUUACAUUGAACACAGUAUGACUAUGAACAUUUAAUUCAAAUGUGUAACUUAUAGUAUUCUCAUUCUCAGUUUGACAUUAUUUCUGUUUUUGUUUAUUUCAGUAUAUUCAGGUUAUUUGUUGUUUAUUGAAGGAGUUUAGGGAUGUUUCUGUGAUGCAUGGUACAGUAUACACUCUUUAAUACAAGAUACGUACCGAAUAUAAUUGCAUUAAAUGAAAUUCAUGCCAAAUAGAGAUGUAAUUAUAUCAAUGGGAUUUAUUAAUUUGGUACAGGUAGGACAUUUUAGGUGAGGAGUUAGCUAAAGGGUAAAAUUGAAGAGAUACAGAUUUACAGCUGUAGUGCUGUUCCUGCAACCAAAAGACAGUAAAAGUAGCAGAAAGAGGAUGUCAGUUUUGGUUAGAUGUCUUGAUACUCCCUUCUUGAAAGCAUUCAUGAUGUUGGAUGGAAGUGAUACAGAUGAAGCUGGGGUAUUCCAGAGUUUACUAGCGAUUCUGAUUAAUUUUAGCAUAAUAGAUUAGGACCACAUGGGAGCUGUAUUAAAGCAGAAAUGUAUAAAUAUAAUAUAUACAGUUUUGGAGUACAGUCUUGUGUAAUGGGGCAGACAUUGUGGAAAUGAAUGUGUAUGGUGGGCAAAAGAACAACAGCUACCCUGCGUUCAAUGAGUCAUCGGGCACGCAGUUCCCCGCAGGUGGGGGGGUGAUCAGGUGUGCACAACAAAAAUGGCAUGCUACACAACAGCUCCCCUACAAUAUUCCUGCAGCAGCUCUUUUAGGCAACCAUUUAUUGAAAACAGCAAUUAUAGUUGAAUGAAAAAUUUGCAGUUGGCUAAAGGAGCUGCCUUGUACAGGCCUACCAGCCUCUUGUAGACUCCUGCGUUCUUAUGUUCUUAUGAUACAAAAGAGGUGACAGUGGACACAAGGUGCUUGUAAACAAAGCAGGGAACAGAAAAGUAUGAAGCGCGCCAUGUUAGUCGAGAAAGCUAGUUUGGGGUUAAUAAGUUAUGAGUUGCAUCUGGUGCAAACAGAUUUAAACUAUCACUGAAUUUGAAAAUUAGUCUAACUAACCACUGUGUGUGUCUAUAGUCUAUACGAUGGAAAAUAAAAUCAACCAAUCAGCAGCUGCUUUCCUUAUGCCCUAUGCUAAUGAGGGUUUAAGAAGGACUCAGUCACUGAGAAACUGAUGCCUCAGUUGCAUUCCUAUUUCAUUUAGCCAGUCGUGCUGGAAUGGACUCAGUCUCACCUGACGCUUGCUUAUUAUUGACAUUACACAUGAUUUUGUGCUUAUUUUACAUUUUCAUUGCUUGCUUUUGUUUCUUUGUUUGACUGAUUGGCUUCUCUGCUGCAUAGAGUGUUUUUAUUAUGCUACUAAUUUAAUUUGAAUUAUAUGGAGGAUGACUUUGUUUUAUGGAAAAUGUGUCCUAAAGUUAGGUCUUGCAUUAUAAGGAUGUCCUUAAAAACAAAUGUGCUUAAUGGAGGGUCUUUUGUAUUUCAAAGUUUUCUGAUAAAAUUGAUAUUCUAAUCUUUGUGCAGAGAAACCCUAAGAGAGAAAGUAGUGGAAUAGUUAGAAAUGCCUUUGUGUUGUUGAUUCCUAGUUGCUCUUCUCUAAUGAAUUUAUACCAAAACUUUCUAUCUUUUGGUUUAAUAUAAAUAGGUUAUUAUAUGAAUGCAAGUUUAAAAGGAUUUGGUUAUUGAAAUAGUGAGUAACACAGCAUUAUUAAAGGUAUAAGUAAUGAAACUUGCAAGUUUAUAAAAUAAUUUCUGUGUCAUCAAUCUCAUUUGUGUAUAAUGUUGUAGAGCAGUGGUUCCCAAACUGGGGGGCACGCUCCCCUGGGGGGGCGUGAGCUGGAUACGAGGGGGGUGUGAUUCUGUCUACCAAAAAUUGCAGUUUUGCAAUAAAUAAAUACACACACACACACACACAAGUCAGAGGUCUAGAGUGUAGGCAGUGGAAAUGAGUUAUUUGAGGAGUUCAUGUGGUGUGAGUAGAAUGGAUGGAAUGAGUAAUGAAAGUGUGUAUGACCAUUUUGGAAUGUGUCACGUGGGUGAAGGGAAGAAGUGAAGCGACAGACUUUAAAGUGGUUUGGUCACAUGGAGCGAAUGGAGGAGAGUAGGAUGACCAGGAGGGUGUAUGUGAGUGAGAUAAAGGGAGGGAAUGUUAGAGGAUGACCUCCAGUGAAAUGGAGGAAUAGGGUACAGGAGUAUGUUAGGGAGAGGGGGGAAAGAUCCGUGAGAGACUUUGAGCAGGCAAGGAGGGAGUGCCUGAAUAGAGAGACGGAAACUCUUCUGCCGUGGCCAUCCCCUGGUGGGAGCUCCUAGGAGCAGGCGUCGAUGAGAUGAUGAUGAUGAUGAUAUAUAUAGAUAUAUAUAUAUAUAUAUAUAUAUAUAUAUAUAUAUAUAUAUAUAUAUAUAUAUAUAUAUAUCUAUAUAUAUGUGUGUGUGUGUGUAUAAAGGAUGGGGAGUGUGAGUAUUUCUUAGAAAUCAAUAGGGGACAUCAUGUAAAAAAGUUUGGGAACAACUGCUGUAGAGUGUCACCAAAUGCCAGUUGUUAAACUUUCUAAUUUCAUUAGUAAUCAUCUCAUCAUCUUAUAAUUUACCUUUUUUAAUACUAAUUUUAUCAUCAUCAUAAUCAUCGCUGUCCCCUUUUCCUGCAGAGACACUGUUAGGAAGGCCUUUGAAGCCUACUUUCAUACUAAAUAAUAAACCCACCCAUUCAUUGUGCCAGAAAAAAAAUAGCAUAGCACAGAACUAAGAUCAUUGUUUGAGUCAUCAGAUAGGUCCUGGAUGCCUGCUUUCAAACAAAAUAAUAACCCACCUAUUCAUCAUGCCAGGAAACAAAUAGCAAAACAGGACUGUUAAGAGCAUUGCCAACUUGCCACCUCUCCUAAUGGCGUUUCCAUAAGGCUGUGUAAACAAUAGGGAUUGUUUAUUACUUUAUAUUAAGGAAUGUUUUUGGUGUUUGUCUUUCUCAUCCAAGGAGUAGAUAAAUAAUCAGUGCUGGGAACCAAUUCUCCAAUGUCAGUGCUCAUCACACAUUCAUUAGUAUGUAAAAGCCAGAUUUAAUAUAAUAUAUUUAUUAAUCAUAAUAUUUUGCCUACGGUGUGUGUGUGUGUGUGUGUGUGAUUAAGUGUGUUAGUGUGGAUGCAUGUACAUGUAUGUGUGCAUGUGCAGUCUUGUGUUCAAGCAUGCAUAGGUGAGUUGGUGUGCAUGCAUGUAUUUAUUGGUGCUUGCCUACACAGGUGAGAAUGUUUACAUGCCCUUGUGUCCAUGUGUGCUUUAGAAACAUGAAAAAAAUACAAAAAUUUACAGAAAUUAUUUUUCAAAUUUCACUGCAAAUUUGGCUCUGUAGGCAGUAAAUUUCCGGGUCAAAGAUUAUAAACUAUUUUACAGACUCCAUCGUGAUAAAAUGAAGAACAUUUCUUCAAUAAUUUUUCUGUACGUCACACCAGUAAAAAGUUGGAAUUUUUGGAGAACUUGAAAUUCCAGCCAAAUGCGACAACCUAGAAAGAAACUAAUUUCACAGCAGGGUGCGCCAGAAAAUUUUCUAUAAAAUACCGUUUAUGACGUUUUCUCAGUUUCAAAGUUCAUUUUCCACUGACUUUUGCAUUCAGUGGGAUCUCCUGAGAAAAACUGUUGCGGUCAAAGAGGGUUUACACAUAAUUAUAUCAUCACAACGGAAAUUAAUACAAAUACAAUAAAUGCUUAAGUAUUAUGCUGCCUUCUCUUGCUGAUGUAACUUGUAUAAUUCAAUGGUUAUAAAAUGUAUACUUUAUGUGAGAGCUGAAAUGUAAAGACAUUUCAGUUUUUUCAAGUAUGUGCUACAAGUGAUAUAACCAAUAUAUGUGUCUUCUAUUUUAACAACUGACUUUAGUAUGUACUUAAGUUUCCUAUUCUUGUUGUCUUCUGGUGUUAUUCAUUAUGUGAGGGGCAUUGUCUCAGCUCUCAUAUUCAUUCCUGGUUAGUACUGGAGUGUAAUGCAGUGAUUAUUGAAAAAAAGAGAAACCAUGCCAUUGGAUUACACAUUAAAAAAUGGAACUAAAAAAAAAUAUUACAUUUGUGAAGUUCAGAUUAGUAUCCAAUUAAAAAAUAGAAAUAUGCAUGAUAAGGCUAAGCAAAGCAGUAAAACAUAAAAAUAUGGAGGUAUAGGCUUGUAGAAAGAGACAGAACUAGCAAGCUGGGAAGUAUUUCAGUUACAAUAUGUCAAAGAAAAAAAAUUAUAGGUUUCCACUUAUUGGAACUGUGGUGAUAUGGAAACAUCAAUAUGAAAGAGCUGCUAUAUUGUGUAUAAACAAGAACAAUCAUGGUUAAGAUAAGGUAAUUGGCACCUAUCAGUUACAUGAAAAAUGGUUGUAUUAUUUUUACAUUUGUGGAGUAGGUAAUUUGCAUUGCAGCGAUUACAGAACUUAUGCACUAGUAUUAUAUGAAUAUGUUUGCCAAACAGUAAGUGAAAUUGAAACUGAUUAAGGUAGUGUAAUGUUACUGUUUUCAACAGCAAAGAUAAUAGAUGUAAUUUUGAUUUCUAAUGAUACAAUGGAAUUUAGGAAAGGAGUAAAUUUUCACUUUCAGUUGCAGAAAAUGUAGUGAUUUUUUUGUAGACUGCAUGAAUUGGAAAUAGAAAAAGAGAUGUUCUUUAUUUCCUCUGAUGUUAUUGAAAGGAAAGUUAAUAUAUAUCUCAUUUGUAUGUAUAAUAAGGAAGAAUAUGUUUUCUCCACCUCAGUGGCAAUGAAGAACAGUAACUUUUUUUUUAUCAUCAGUUAAAGAAUCACAUUUGCUGGUUUCACCUUCAUGAAGAUAUAUUGCAAAAUUGUGAGAGGAAGUAUUUGUGAGUGUAUGUUUUCAAGGCAUUCCUUCUAAUAUUCCUUGAUUUCAGAUAUGCCACUGAUAUAUGGUAACUACUAUGCCUUCGAUGUUAUCCUGAUGAAAUACAGUUGUUAUUAAAAACAUGGGUUCAUUCUAUUGCUCAUGAAUUUUCUUUUGACUUGCUUUGAUAUAUGCAUAUGGAGAUGGGAUAAUGGUUUGAGUGCCUAGAAAAAUGCUACCCACUAUCUGCCACUCCAUAAAAAUAACUGGAAGAUAGCUUUAACUUACUGCACAGCCAUGCAGAAGCAACACAUAGUGUACAUUUCUUAUUCAGCCUUGCAUAACCAUGUCAUAUAUCUUUUACUAAUAACGUCCACAAAAUAGUCAGUCAUAGGAUUGAAGUCCUUUCUUAAUCUCCCUUAAGCUCUCACCUGUGCAGGAGUGGAUAGACAUGCUGUUCAUUAACAAUGCUAUUGUAUAAAUAAUGAGGAGCCUGGAACAGGUAUGGAUGUCUGAAUCCUUGGCUUACUUGUAAAUCUUGAUGUACCCUUCAUAUGCAGACACAGGAAGCUCUGAAAUAAUGAACAACAUCAUCUUGAACACUCCAGGCUCAUGAGAUGAUGUGUGCGUUGCGUUGUGGUGGCGGGGUGUGAUGUGAUGGAGUGCAGGCUUGUAAGUUUGGUGUGGUGAUUUGCAUUUUUUUUUCUUUUUCUGGAAGACUUGCUUUCACAUAAAAAAUAAAUAUGGUUGGGAAGGAAAUGUUGUGCCACUCACAGCUGACUGCACAGUCACUCCAGAGAAAUAAUUCUUGCACAAUUUAUCCUUCAUAGUUUUCUCUGUUGUAGUGGGAGUGAUAAGGGAAAUGUAUUUUUUUAUUAUUUAUAAAUGAAUUACUAUUGAAAAAUUAUAAUGUUUGCAGCAUAUAUGAUGUAAUAUAUAAUACACAUGACAAUAAUAAAAGUUGUUCUUGA
Long non-coding RNA from Eriocheir sinensis (Chinese mitten crab), 6840 nucleotides. RefSeq lists it as uncharacterized. The record is from RefSeq and is a predicted model, not a curated record. The transcript is spliced from 4 exons. Lineage: Eukaryota; Metazoa; Arthropoda; Malacostraca; Decapoda; Varunidae.